GCGGGAGUUGCCAAGCCCGGUCAAAGGCGGCGGACUUAAGAUCCGCUCCCGAAGGGGUCCGAGGGUUCGAAUCCCUCCUCCCGCACCA
This 88-nucleotide transfer RNA is filed under the name Candidatus Thorarchaeota archaeon. Its description in RNAcentral is "tRNA-Leu". It matches the Rfam family "tRNA". From Rfam's summary of the family: Transfer RNA (tRNA) molecules are approximately 80 nucleotides in length. Their secondary structure includes four short double-helical elements and three loops (D, anti-codon, and T loops). Lineage: Archaea; Promethearchaeati; Candidatus Thorarchaeota. The record is from RNAcentral.